UCUGCGCCGCGAGAUCGAGAAUGUCCAUCUCUAUGCGGCUCGCGAUCCCUGCUCCUGCCGUCACCGACGCCGCGCCGACACGGCUGAGGGUGCGAGUGGCAGCGACGGGGAACGACGGCUCUCUCCCCGUCGCGCGCGCCGCCGUGCAGGCGGAGACGGGCGCGCUCAGGUGAGGCUGAGGCCGAGGGCGCGACGGCUGUGCGUUCUCGGCGAAACUAAACCUGCAACUUUCAUGGGACCAUUGAUCAGACGCGCAUUUCUGCAGGGGAUGCGCCUCGCUGCCAUCGAAGCCGCUGGGAGCGGCCCAGCCGUGCCGGAGCAGGGGGGCGCCGUCGUGUGUCACUCGUCGGCGCACCUCAGCGUGCGCACCAUCCAGUGGAUCUCCGCCGGAACCAUCGCAGUGCUAUUAGUUGCUAAAGGCACUGCCAUACACAAAUCUUUCCUUGUGCCAUUUUUUGCUCUUCAGACACCUUGCUGCAUAAUCUCAUGGAUCAAGGGUGACUAUGGUCAGUGGACUGCUUUUCUUUCUCUGUUGGUGCGUCUAUUCUUCUUCAUUCCAGGUGAACUGGAGCUUCCACUGUCAACAAUGCUGCUUGUGAGUGUUGCUCCUUACCAAUUCAUGGAUCUGAGGGGAACUCAAGGUGGUGUCGUAAUGUCACUGGUCAUAGCUGCGUAUCUCGCCUUCCAGCACUUCACUAGGGUGGGCGGCCCAGGCAAAGCCUUCGAGCAAGGAUCCAUUGUUGCGACCUUGGCCAUCAUUUGCAUCAUGAUUGUGCCCUUGAUGUUGCUAUUCUGAUUUGCAAUGAGUUGGAAUGAAUUUGCUUCUCAUUAUGUGCGUAUAUAAGGACAAAUAAAUUUAACCUU
Molecule: RNA transcript, 864 nt
Organism: Zea mays
Lineage: Eukaryota; Viridiplantae; Streptophyta; Magnoliopsida; Poales; Poaceae
Gene name: cold acclimation protein pseudogene
Exons: 5
Source: RefSeq, marked validated